GACGAACGCUGGCGGCGUGCCUAAUACAUGCAAGUUGAGCGCUGAAGGUUGGUACUUGUACCAACUGGAUGAGCAGCGAACGGGUGAGUAACGCGUGGGGAAUCUGCCUUUGAGCGGGGGACAACAUUUGGAAACGAAUGCUAAUACCGCAUAAAAACUUUAAACACAAGUUUUAAGUUUGAAAGAUGCAAUUGCAUCACUCAAAGAUGAUCCCGCGUUGUAUUAGCUAGUUGGUGAGGUAAAGGCUCACCCAGGCGAUGAUACAUAGCCGACCUGAGAGGGUGAUCGGCCACAUUGGGACUGAGACACGGCCCAAACUCCUACGGGAGGCAGCAGUAGGGGAGCUUCGGCGAUGGAUGAAAGUCUGACCGAGCAACGCCGCGUGAGUGCAGAAGGUCUUCGGAUCGUAAAACUCUGUUGGUAGAGAAGAACGUUGGUGAGAGUGGAAAGCUCAUCAAGUGACGGUAACUACACAGAAAGGGACGGCUAACUACGUG
This 497-nucleotide ribosomal RNA is filed under the name uncultured bacterium. Its description in RNAcentral is "partial 16S ribosomal RNA". It matches the Rfam family "Bacterial small subunit ribosomal RNA", at positions 28 to 507 of the family's 1533-position model. The record is from RNAcentral.